This 253-nucleotide ribosomal RNA is filed under the name uncultured bacterium. RNAcentral's name for it is "partial 16S ribosomal RNA". It matches the Rfam family "Bacterial small subunit ribosomal RNA", at positions 524 to 776 of the family's 1533-position model. The record is from RNAcentral.
GACGAACCGUGCGAACGUUGUUCGGAUUCACUGGGCUUAAAGGGCGCGUAGGCGGGCGGUCAAGUCAGGGGUGAAAUCUUUCGGCCUAACCGGAAAAGAGCCUCUGAUACUGGCCGUCUCGAGGGAGGUAGGGGCAUGCGGAACUUCCGGUGGAGCGGUGAAAUGCGUAGAUAUCGGAAGGAACGCCGGUGGCGAAAGCGGCGUGCUGGACCUCUUCUGACGCUGAGGCGCGAAAGCCAGGGGAGCGAACGGG